GGCUGUAGCUUAGUGGCAAAGUGCUUGCCUAGCACAUGUGAGGUCCUGGAUUCAAUACUCAGCACCA
RNAcentral lists this transfer RNA (67 nucleotides) under Marmota monax (woodchuck). RNAcentral describes it as "tRNA.Ala". Lineage: Eukaryota; Metazoa; Chordata; Mammalia; Rodentia; Sciuridae. The record is from RNAcentral.